GCCCGGGUGGUGGAAUGGCAGACACGCCAGACUUAGGAUCUGGUGCUUUAGGGCAUGAGGGUUCGAGUCCCUCUCCGGGUA
This 81-nucleotide transfer RNA is filed under the name Puniceicoccales bacterium. RNAcentral's name for it is "tRNA-Leu". It matches the Rfam family "tRNA". From Rfam's summary of the family: Transfer RNA (tRNA) molecules are approximately 80 nucleotides in length. Their secondary structure includes four short double-helical elements and three loops (D, anti-codon, and T loops). Further hydrogen bonds mediate the characteristic L-shaped molecular structure. tRNAs have two regions of fundamental functional importance: the anti-codon, which is responsible for specific mRNA codon recognition, and the 3' end, to which the tRNAs corresponding amino acid is attached (by aminoacyl-tRNA synthetases). tRNAs cope with the degeneracy of the genetic code in two manners: having more than one tRNA (with a specific anti-codon) for a particular amino acid; and 'wobble' base-pairing, i.e. permitting non-standard base-pairing at the 3rd anti-codon position. Lineage: Bacteria; Pseudomonadati; Verrucomicrobiota; Opitutia; Puniceicoccales. The record is from RNAcentral.